RNAcentral lists this transfer RNA (77 nucleotides) under Desulfitobacterium sp. Its description in RNAcentral is "tRNA-Ile". It matches the Rfam family "tRNA". Rfam says of the family: Transfer RNA (tRNA) molecules are approximately 80 nucleotides in length. Their secondary structure includes four short double-helical elements and three loops (D, anti-codon, and T loops). The record is from RNAcentral. Lineage: Bacteria; Bacillati; Bacillota; Clostridia; Eubacteriales; Desulfitobacteriaceae. RNAcentral also lists the same sequence under 7 other names.
GGGCUCAUAGCUCAGGCGGUUAGAGCGCACGCCUGAUAAGCGUGAGGUCGGUGGUUCGAGUCCACUUGAGCCCACCA